This 240-nucleotide ribosomal RNA is filed under the name Klebsiella variicola. RNAcentral describes it as "partial 23S ribosomal RNA". It matches the Rfam family "Bacterial large subunit ribosomal RNA", at positions 752 to 989 of the family's 2925-position model. Lineage: Bacteria; Pseudomonadati; Pseudomonadota; Gammaproteobacteria; Enterobacterales; Enterobacteriaceae. The record is from RNAcentral.
UUGGUUAAAUCUAACUGGAGGACCUAACCGACUAUUGUUGAAAAAUUAGCGGAUGACUUGUGGAUGGGGGUGAAAGGCCAAUCAAACCGGGAGAUAGCUGGUUCUCCCCGAAAGCUAUUUAGGUAGCGCCUCUUGAACUCAUCUUCGGGGGUAGAGCACUGUUUCGGCUAGGGGGUCAUCCCGACUUACAAACCCGAUUCAAACUACGAAUACCGAAGAAUGUUAUCACGGGAGACACAC